ACCAGGUGGAACGAAGGUAGGAAGGAAGCAGAGCGAAUUUCAGGGAAAGCAUUCAGUCUGCAUCUGGCCGUCGUGUAGGGAGGAAGGUCGCCGCCGCACCUCUCCCAUCGCAUCCACUGUAAGGGACACGUGUUAAGGCGGAACUUUCUUUAGUGUGGAACCUUUAUUGACCUUUUUUGUGUGUGUCAAGGGCGUGAGACUCCUGCUGGCGACGCUGACGAAGGCUGGAGAAUAGCGCGAGGUGUGAAGUUGUUGCGAGGACGGAGGAAGUUAGCGAGGACGAGGACGAGGACGAGGACGAGAAGGGUAGUGGUGAUGAUGAUGAUGAUGAUGAUGAUGGUGGUGGUAGUAAUCGCGUUGGUUAAUUCCUUUUUAUAACCCAUAGAAAAAGAAGGAAAACAAAAAGACAUGCUGAUUGUGAUGACGGCUUGAAAUAAACAACAAAAGGAAACCAAAAAAAGCGUAGAGGAAAGACUUACUAGCGUGUGUUUGUAUGAGCUGAAAAAUCAAUCCAGUCUUUUACGUGUUUGUGUGGAGUCGUUCUCACUCACUUCUCUUGCCCGUGGAGUGACUCUUCCUCUUACCUGAGAAAGUAAGAGGAACGUUAAGAGGGAAGUUGAAAGGAGAAUUCGGGGAAAGACACUCCAGCUUGCCGUACCGCGCUUGUCACGAAGAGAAAAAAAAAAGAAAAGAAAGCAAGAAAAAAGUGUAUUAGUCAAACCUCUAUGCUGCGCUAUUUAGUUUCUCCUUUUGCGUGAUAAAAGAAGAAAAUUGCGUUAGAAAAAAUAGAAAGGAAAAUACACCGGGAGGAAUAGAAAGAGGAAAAACUUGCGUAGGAAAAAAAAGAUUAAUGUUGGAAUAAGGAAAAGAAUAAAGUAAGUAAAAAAAAGGAAGUAUCAAUGAAGGUGGAACAAGAUUAAGACGCGAACGAAUAAGAGAAGCAAAGAAGAAGAAGAAGAAGUGGAAGAAGUGGACACCAAAAUGGCCUUAAGAAACUAAGUAUUCACUCCACUCAUGCCUUUGAAGUGGAAUGAAAAAAACACAUCAUCCCACUCCACCUCCUCCUCCUCCACUUGCUCCUCCUCCUCCUCCUCUGUAUAGCCAUUAGCCUGAGUGUCCGUGUGGCGAGAGGGAGGCGUGAGGGGGGCGGGGAGAGAUAAAGAGACACUGAGAGAGACGGGGAGAGAUAAGAGAGACGCGAGGAGACUGGAAUAUUUACCGAGGAGAUAAGGAGAGGGAGGAGAAGGAGAGGAGAGAGAAAGAGAGAGAGAGAGAGAAAAGUGAAGGAAAGGAAGACGUGAAUUUCGGUGUAAGGAAGAAGUGAAGGAGACGAAGGAAGGAAAUACAGUGGAUGCGAAAAAAAGAAGGAAGUGGAAGGAGGAAACAGGGAAUAGAUGAGGUGGUGGGUUGGUAUCCUUCUUCCUCCUGAACGCUGAUUACCUCCACCUUUUUUCCUCCUCCACCUCCUCCUCCUCCUCCUCCUCUUCCCCCUCCCCCUCCCCAUCCUCCUCCCACCCUUCCCAAAUUUGUUUACUUCCAUAGUUUUUCCUCCUCCUUCUCCUCUUCCUCUUCCUCCUUUCCAAUAUCGAAUUCUUAACAUAUAUUUAUUUUCCUCUUCUUUCUCUUUAUUUCCUGAUCACCUCGUCCUCUUUUUCCUCUCCAGUUCUCUCCAGUCUCAUUCCUGCCUUGUUUUUCUCCUCCCUUGCUCCGAUUCUGCUUUCUCUCCUUUCCUCCUCUCCCUCCCUCUCUCCCCCUAAGCUCUGUGGUGUUUUCCUCCAACUUCUCUUUGCUCUCCUCUCCUCUCUUGAAUUUUUACUCAUAUUUUCCCUUCCUUCUUCAGCUCCCCAAAUCCUCUUGACGUUCCCUCUCCCUCUCUCUCCAUCCCUCCUCUUCUGCUUCCUUUCCUUCCUUUCCUUCUUGUAAUUCGAUAAUCUUGUCUGGCCCUCUGAUCUUUCUCUUCCUAUCUUCCCAUCUCCGUCUUUCUCCCGUUCGAUAUAUUUUACUCCUAUUUUCUCCUCCGUCGGCUUCCUAAAUCCUCACGACCUUUACCCUUCCCCUGUCAGUCCUCUCCGUCACUCCCUCCUUCACCCGCAUCCUUUUCUCACUCACCCACCUCAGCCUCACUUUCAUCCACCUAUCUAUCCACUUAGUCAGAUUUUAUACUAUAUCUUCACUUACCCACCUACCCCUGCUCACCCAUCUCUUCAUCCAUCCCUUUAUCCACCUAUCUCACUCUCCAUUUUUACCUAUUUAUCCACUUAUCCACUACUGACCUCAUAACCCCUAAACUUAUUUUUCCACUCAUUUACCCAUCUCUUUGUUUACCCACCCACCUGAUCUUCCACCUGUCGCCCCACCUAACCACUGACUCUUUACUCUUCCACCCACCACCCACGCCCACCCACUUGAACAUUCCACCACCUUCCACCACGCACCUCCACCUACUUAUGGUACAUUCCACUGCCCCAUCCACUUCUCC
Eriocheir sinensis (Chinese mitten crab) is the source of this 2479-nucleotide long non-coding RNA. RefSeq lists it as uncharacterized. Lineage: Eukaryota; Metazoa; Arthropoda; Malacostraca; Decapoda; Varunidae. The record is from RefSeq and is a predicted model, not a curated record. The transcript has 3 exons.